GACGAACGCUGGCGGCGUGCUUAACACAUGCAAGUCGAGCGGUAAGGCCCUUCGGGGUACACGAGCGGCGAACGGGUGAGUAACACGUGGGUGACCUGCCCUUCACUCUGGGGAUAAGCCUGGGAAACUGGGUCUAAUACCGGAUAUGACCUGCUCUCGCAUGGGGGUUGGGUGAAAGUCAGUAUUGUAGUGAUGCUGGCGGUGGGGAGUGGGCCGCGGUCUAUCAGCUUGGGUUGGGGGUGGA
This 244-nucleotide ribosomal RNA is filed under the name uncultured bacterium. Its description in RNAcentral is "partial 16S ribosomal RNA". It matches the Rfam family "Bacterial small subunit ribosomal RNA", at positions 28 to 261 of the family's 1533-position model. The record is from RNAcentral.